UGGGGAAUAUUGGACAAUGGGGGCAACCCUGAUCCAGCGAUGCCGCGUGAGUGAAGAAGGUCUUAGGAUUGUAAAGCUCUUUUGACAGGGAAGAUAAUGACGGUACCUGUAGAAUAAGCACCGGCUAACUCUGUGCCAGCAGCCGCGGUAAUACAGAGGGUGCAAGCGUUGUUCGGAAUUACUGGGCGUAAAGGGCGUGUAGGCGGUAAUAUAAGUCAGAUGUUAAAGACCAGGGCUUAACCUUGGGAGUGCAUAUGAUACUGUAUAACUAGAGUGCAAGAGGGGAGAAUGGAAUUUCCGGUGUAGAGGUAAAAUUCGUAGAUAUCGGAAGGAACACCAGUGGCGAAGGCGAUUCUCUGGAUUGUAACUGACGCUGAGGCGCGAAAGUAUGGGGAGCAAACAGG
RNAcentral lists this ribosomal RNA (404 nucleotides) under uncultured bacterium. RNAcentral describes it as "bacterial SSU rRNA". It matches the Rfam family "Bacterial small subunit ribosomal RNA", at positions 355 to 776 of the family's 1533-position model. The record is from RNAcentral.